AGAGUUUGAUCCUGGCUCAGGAUGAACGCUAGCGACAGGCUUAACACAUGCAAGUCGAGGGGCAUCAUGAGGUAGCAAUACCUUGAUGGCGACCGGCGCACGGGUGAGUAACGCGUAUGCAACCUGCCCGAUACCGGGGUAUAGCCCAUGGAAACGUGGAUUAACACCCCAUAGUACUUUUAUCCUGCCUGGGAUGUGAGUUAAAUGUUCAAGGUAUCGGAUGGGCAUGCGUCCUAUUAGUUAGUUGGCGGGGUAACAGCCCACCAAGACGAUGAUAGGUAGGGGUUCUGAGAGGAAGGUCCCCCACAUUGGAACUGAGACACGGUCCAAACUCCUACGGGAGGCAGCAGUGAGGAAUAUUGGUCAAUGGACGUAAGUCUGAACCAGCCAAGUCGCGUGAGGGAAGACUGCCCUAUGGGUUGUAAACCUCUUUUAUAAGGGAAGAAUAAGUUCUACGUGUAGAAUGAUGCCUGUACCUUAUGAAUAAGCAUCGGCUAACUCCGUGCCAGCAGCCGCGGUAAUACGGAGGAUGCGAGCGUUAUCCGGAUUUAUUGGGUUUAAAGGGUGCGUAGGCGGUUUAUUAAGUUAGUGGUUAAAUAUUUGAGCUAAACUCAAUUGUGCCAUUAAUACUGGUAAACUGGAGUACAGACGAGGUAGGCGGAAUAAGUUAAGUAGCGGUGAAAUGCAUAGAUAUAACUUAGAACUCCGAUAGCGAAGGCAGCUUACCAGACUGUAACUGACGCUGAUGCACGAGAGCGUGGGUAGCGAACAGGAUUAGAUACCCUGGUAGUCCACGCCGUAAACGAUGAUCACUGGUUCUGUGCGAUAUAUUGUACGGGAUUAAGCGAAAGUAUUAAGU
This 859-nucleotide ribosomal RNA is filed under the name human gut metagenome. Its description in RNAcentral is "bacterial SSU rRNA". It matches the Rfam family "Bacterial small subunit ribosomal RNA", at positions 8 to 865 of the family's 1533-position model. The record is from RNAcentral.